RNAcentral lists this transfer RNA (74 nucleotides) under Camelus bactrianus (Bactrian camel). It matches the Rfam family "tRNA". From Rfam's summary of the family: Transfer RNA (tRNA) molecules are approximately 80 nucleotides in length. Their secondary structure includes four short double-helical elements and three loops (D, anti-codon, and T loops). RNAcentral also lists the same sequence under 2 other names. The record is from Rfam by way of RNAcentral. Lineage: Eukaryota; Metazoa; Chordata; Mammalia; Artiodactyla; Camelidae.
GAGGGUAGAGCUCAGUGGUAGAGCUGGUGCUUAGCGUGCUCACAAGGUCCUGGGUUCAAUCCCCAGUGCCUCCA